AGUACUGUGAACUGCGAAUGGCUCAUUAAAUCAGUUAUCGUUUAUUUGAUUGUACCAUUACUACUUGGAUAACCGUAGUAAUUCUAGAGCUAAUACAUGCGAAAAGUCCCGACUUGUGAAGGAAGGGAUGUAUUUAUUAGAUUAAAAACCAAUGCGGGUUUCGUGCCCGGUUGUUUGGUGAUUCAUAGUAACUGAUCGAAUCGCACGGCCUUGGCGCUGGCGAUGUUUCAUUCAAAUUUCUGCCCUAUCAACUGUCGAUGGUAAGGUAGUGGCUUACCAUGGUUGCAACGGGUGACGGAGAAUUAGGGUUCGAUUCCGGAGAGGGAGCCUGAGAAACGGCUACCACAUCCAAGGAAGGCAGCAGGCGCGCAAAUUACCCAAUCCUGACUCAGGGAGGUAGUGACAAGAAAUAACAAUACAGGGCUUUCC
RNAcentral lists this ribosomal RNA (429 nucleotides) under Pavona cactus. RNAcentral's name for it is "SSU rRNA". It matches the Rfam family "Eukaryotic small subunit ribosomal RNA", at positions 75 to 496 of the family's 1831-position model. Lineage: Eukaryota; Metazoa; Cnidaria; Anthozoa; Scleractinia; Agariciidae. The record is from RNAcentral.